UUGGGUUUAAAGUGCGCGUAGGCGGCGUUUUAAGUCGGGGGUGAAAGCCUGUGGCUCAACCACAGAAUGGCCUUCGAUACUGGGACGCUUGAGUAUGGUAGAGGUUGGUGGAACUGCGAGUGUAGAGGUGAAAUUCGUAGAUAUUCGCAAGAACACCGGUGGCGAAGGCGGCCAACUGGACCAUUACUGACGCUGAGGCGCGAAAGCGUGGGGAGCAAACAGGAUUAGAUA
RNAcentral lists this ribosomal RNA (231 nucleotides) under uncultured Pseudomonadota bacterium. RNAcentral describes it as "uncultured proteobacterium partial 16S ribosomal RNA". It matches the Rfam family "Bacterial small subunit ribosomal RNA", at positions 554 to 784 of the family's 1533-position model. Lineage: Bacteria; Pseudomonadati; Pseudomonadota. The record is from RNAcentral.